RNAcentral lists this ribosomal RNA (463 nucleotides) under uncultured bacterium. RNAcentral's name for it is "partial 16S ribosomal RNA". It matches the Rfam family "Bacterial small subunit ribosomal RNA", at positions 28 to 507 of the family's 1533-position model. The record is from RNAcentral.
GACGAACGCUGGCGGCGUGCUUAACACAUGCAAGUCGAGCGGUAAGUCCCUUCGUGGUACACGACCGGCGAACAGGUCAUUAACACGUGCGUUAUCUUCCCAUCACUUCGUGAUAACUCCGGGGAACCGGUGCUAAUACCGAAUAUGACCACUUCAUGCAUCUGAUGGUGCUGGAAAGUUACGGCGGGGAUGUAUGGGCUCGCGUCCUAUCAGCUUGUUGGUGGGGUAGUGGCCUACCAAGGCUUCGACGGGUAGCCUGCCUGUGAGGGUGACCGGCCACGCUGGGAUUGAGCAGAGGCACAGACCACUACGGGACGGAGCAGUGGAGAAUAGUGGACUAUGCGAGAAAGCAUACUCUAGCAAAGCCGCGUGAGGGAUGCCGGGAAUCGGGUUGUAAACCUAUUUCAGCAGGGACGAAGAGAAAGUGACGGUACCUGCAGAAGAAGCACCGGCCAACUACGUG